GAUGAAGAACGUAGCGAAAUGCGAUAAGUAAUGUGAAUUGCAGAAUUCAGUGAAUCAUCGAAUCUUUGAACGCACAUUGCGCCCCUUGGUAUUCCGAGGGGCAUGCCUGUUCGAGCGUCAUUAUAACCCCUCAAGCUCAGCUUGGUGUUGGGGCCUGCUGCACUGGCAGCCCUUAAAAUCAGUGGCGGCGCCAUCUGGCUCUAAGCGUAGUAAUUCUUCUCGCUAUGGAGUCCUGGUGGAUGCUUGCCAUCAACCCCCAAUUUUUCUAUGGUUGACCUCGGAUCAGGUAGGGAUAACCGCUGAACUUAAGCAUAUCAAUAAGCGGAGGA
This 329-nucleotide unclassified non-coding RNA is filed under the name soil metagenome. Its description in RNAcentral is "partial contains 5.8S ribosomal RNA, internal transcribed spacer 2, and large subunit ribosomal RNA". The stretch from base 1 to 120 matches the Rfam family "5.8S ribosomal RNA", at positions 35 to 154 of the family's 154-position model. The record is from RNAcentral.